GCCUCAGUGGUGCAGUUGGUAGCGCGUGAGUCCCAUAAUCUCAAGGUCGAGGGAUUGAAGCCCUCCUGAGGCA
Molecule: non-coding RNA, 73 nt
Organism: Trichuris trichiura (human whipworm)
Lineage: Eukaryota; Metazoa; Nematoda; Enoplea; Trichinellida; Trichuridae
Source: Rfam